UACGAAGGGAGCAAGCGUUGUCCGGAUUUAUUGGGCGUAAAGAGCUCGUAGGCGGUUUGUUGCGUCGGCUGUGAAAUCCCGAGGCUCAACCUCGGGUCUGCAGUCGAUACGAGCAAACUAGAGUGUUGCAGGGGAGACUGGAAUUCCUGGUGUAGCGGUGAAAUGCGCAGAUAUCAGGAGGAACACCGGUGGCGAAGGCGGGUCUCUGGGCAACAACUGACGCUGAGGAGCGAAAGCGUGGGGAGCGAACAGG
Molecule: ribosomal RNA, 253 nt
Filed under: uncultured bacterium
Lineage: Bacteria
Description: partial 16S ribosomal RNA
Rfam family: Bacterial small subunit ribosomal RNA
Source: RNAcentral